ACAACUUUCAGCAACGGAUCUCUUGGCUCUCGCAUCGAUGAAGAACGCAGCGAAAUGCGAUAAGUAAUGUGAAUUGCAGAAUUCAGUGAAUCAUCGAAUCUUUGAACGCACCUUGCGCUCCUUGGUAUUCCGAGGAGCAUGCCUGUUUGAGUGUCAUUAAUAUAU
RNAcentral lists this ribosomal RNA (165 nucleotides) under Phlegmacium lilacinoides. Its description in RNAcentral is "Hymenogaster sublilacinus 5.8S ribosomal RNA". It matches the Rfam family "5.8S ribosomal RNA". From Rfam's summary of the family: 5.8S ribosomal RNA (5.8S rRNA) is a component of the large subunit of the eukaryotic ribosome. Lineage: Eukaryota; Fungi; Basidiomycota; Agaricomycetes; Agaricales; Cortinariaceae. The record is from RNAcentral. RNAcentral also lists the same sequence under 8 other names.